GACGAACGCUGGCGGCGUGCCUAAUACAUGCAAGUAGAACGCUGAAGGAGGAGCUUGCUUCUCUGGAUGAGUUGCGAACGGGUGAGUAACGCGUAGGUAACCUGCCUGGUAGCGGGGGAUAACUAUUGGAAACGAUAGCUAAUACCGCAUAAUAGUAGAUGUUGCAUGACAUUUGCUUAAAAGGUGCAAUUGCAUCCCUACCAGAUGGACCUGCGUUGUAUUAGCUAGUUGGUGGGGUAACGGCUCACCAAGGCGACGAUACAUAGCCGACCUGAGAGGGUGAUCGGCCACACUGGGACUGAGACACGGCCCAGACUCCUACGGGAGGCAGCAGUAGGGAAUCUUCGGCAAUGAACGGAAGUCUGACCGAGCAACGCCGCGUGAGUGAAGAAGGUUUUCGGAUCGUAAAGCUCUGUUGUAAGAGAAGAACGAGUGUGAGAGUGGAAAGUUCACACUGUGACGGUAUCUUACCAGAAAGGGACGGCUAACUACGUG
RNAcentral lists this ribosomal RNA (495 nucleotides) under uncultured bacterium. RNAcentral's name for it is "partial 16S ribosomal RNA". It matches the Rfam family "Bacterial small subunit ribosomal RNA", at positions 28 to 507 of the family's 1533-position model. The record is from RNAcentral.